RNAcentral lists this transfer RNA (74 nucleotides) under Trichonephila inaurata madagascariensis. Its description in RNAcentral is "tRNA-Arg". The record is from RNAcentral. Lineage: Eukaryota; Metazoa; Arthropoda; Arachnida; Araneae; Nephilidae.
GCCAGUGGCGUAACGGAUAACGCGCCUGACUACGGAUCAGGAGAUUCCAUGUUCGAAGCGUCGAUGCUUCGGUG